This 215-nucleotide long non-coding RNA is filed under the name Musa acuminata (dwarf banana). Its description in RNAcentral is "long non-coding RNA (MACU_LNC011475)". Lineage: Eukaryota; Viridiplantae; Streptophyta; Magnoliopsida; Zingiberales; Musaceae. The record is from RNAcentral.
UGCCGGUGACCUCGACGGAGGAGGAAUCAGAAGUGGAUGUAGAUCACAACGAUCGAACCACUAUAAAUUCCAGAGUGGUCAUUUCAUUUUGCUUUUUACUACUAUUGUUACUUUCUAAGUUAAUUGCUAGUUCAUUUACUCUAAAGUCAAGCACUUUCCAAAAUUGAUUUUCAACAAAUGAAUAUCUUACAAAAUUGAUGAUUUUUCUACUGUAC